RNAcentral lists this long non-coding RNA (1200 nucleotides) under Rattus norvegicus (Norway rat). RNAcentral's name for it is "long non-coding RNA NONRATT010780". The record is from RNAcentral. Lineage: Eukaryota; Metazoa; Chordata; Mammalia; Rodentia; Muridae.
GCAGGACUGUCUUCAGCGUUACCUCCACCUCCUCCGCCUCCGCCACCUCCACCGCCACCAGCAGGGCCCUCCCCAGGCACCGAGAUGCCUGCUCCGCCCCUGCCCCAGGCCGUGAAUGGUGUGAACCGUGGGGCCUUGCUCAGCUCCAUCCAGAAUUUCCAAAAGGGAACUUUGAGGAAAGCCAAAACCUGUGAUCACAGUGCUCCUAAGAUUGGCUGAUACUUCUUGGUUACACUGGAGGGCAAGCUCUUUGGUCCCGUCCCACCCUUUGAGUCCCUCCUUCCUGGGUGAGUUCUUCCACAACUUCCCUCAAGCCCCUUCCUGGGUGAACCCUUGCAGAGCCCGUACAGCCAGUCCUGCAGACACUCCAGUCAGGAGGCUUUUCAAGAGGGAAAUGUUCUCCAGAUAGAAUAAAGAGGGGCCAGCAUUGCUGCCUUAGUAGUUUGCUCCUUUGUGACUCUAAUGGGCUUCCUUUAGGGGCAGCAUCAUAUGGGUUAUCGUUUUCACCAGCGAAAGGAAAAUGACAGAGAAUCAAAAGCAAUGACAAUAUUCUGUCACAGCAGCGAAUGGCCUUUGUCACUCUGUCAAGGUGUUCUCAUAGCUCAUUCCUCCGAAGCAUCUUUUGGUGAUUUCUUAGGUAGCACCCACGUGUACUCGCUACUCUGCCCCAGAUGCUAACACUAACCAAGGCAGUUAUGCUGCUGAAGCAAAGGAACGGGCUCUUCGUUCUUCUGUAUACCGUAGGGAUGGGGAGCUCCUCAGGGAAUCCCACUGUGCUGAGAGCAGCAGCUCUGGGUGCAUAGUCAGCCACAGUGUACCAGACACGGCACUGACCACAGCUAAAGCUCUUGCCAGUUGAAGGACUGUCUCAGUCCUCAGCAAUUAAAUCCAGUGGGGGUAGAGGGAGGGCCAACAUUACAAGUGAAUCUGGCAUCUAUAGUGAUCACUUCUGAUCUGAUUUAUCCAACUUCAGCAUCUUUUUGAUAUUACUCAGUUAUCAGAAAUCUUUUAUCCUAUGAUUUGCUUAAACCUUUUAAAUAAAUUGCACUUUAAAGGAUUAUAAAAAAUCCAUUUUAAAAUUCAAAUACACACAUCAGUGUUGGUUACUAUGCAGAAAGAAUGUUAUUGUGUAUAGUCUCAUGUAAUCUGUGAUACAUGUUCAGCUGUAUUUUUUAUUAAAAGAAAUCAUGUCAAGAAAGU